Molecule: ribosomal RNA, 250 nt
Filed under: uncultured bacterium
Lineage: Bacteria
Description: partial 16S ribosomal RNA
Rfam family: Bacterial small subunit ribosomal RNA
Source: RNAcentral
GCAAGUCGAGCGGUAACAGGGGUAGCUUGCUACCCGCUGACGAGCGGCGGACGGGUGAGUAAUGCUUGGGUAUCUGCCUUGUGGUGGGGGACAACAGUUGGAAACGACUGCUAAUACCGCAUAAUCUCUACGGAGCAAAGUGGGGGACCUUCGGGCCUCACGCCACAAGAUGAACCCAAGUGGGAUUAGCUAGUUGGUAAGGUAACGGCUUACCAAGGCGACGAUCCCUAGCUGGUCUGAGAGGAUGACC